This 2423-nucleotide unclassified non-coding RNA is filed under the name Portunus trituberculatus (swimming crab). Its description in RNAcentral is "gATOR complex protein WDR24-like, transcript variant X4". The record is from RNAcentral. Lineage: Eukaryota; Metazoa; Arthropoda; Malacostraca; Decapoda; Portunidae.
CAAAGGCCCGGCUCAGGAGUGAUCCCGAAUCGCCUGUAGUUUCAAGAUCAAGAUCAAGUACCAGAGGAGGACGUACCUCUGAAGCAAUACAAAGCAUCUUGAUUUAAAAGUGGAGUAAUUUGCCAUUGAAUGAUAUGAUUGAAUCUGGUUCUGAUGGCAUAUCCUGAAUUAAUCUGAACAGAAUUUGAAACAAUCUCUGAUUACUUACUUAUUUGUUGAAGGUUGGCACAGCCAAGUAUCACAACAAGAUGCGUACAGUGAAGGUGACUCAGGAUGUGCCUGCCAAUGCCCUUGCCUUGGAUCCUUAUGAUACACAGGUGGUCAUUGCAGGCAGACAUGUUUUCAAGAUCUUUGCCUUGGAGGAAGAUGGUUUGGUUGAGCGAGCUAAUCUGAGGGCUGGGAAACACCUCAACCUCAACUUUUCUUGCAAUGAUGUUGUGUGGAAUCCUUUGGAAGAUGCAGUAUUGGCAACUGCUUCCACCAACGGUGCAGUGGUCACUUGGAAUCUCAACAAAGCCUCACGAUCCAAGCUGGACUGUGUAUUCAAUGAUCACAGCCGUACAGUGCAGAAGGUUAGCUUUCAUCCAUCUGAGGCUCACCUUCUCAUAUCUGGCUCACUUGAUGGAUUCAUGAAGCUGUUUGAUCUUCGGCGGAGGGAGGCCACCCAGACCUACACCAGUAAUGCAGAAAGUGUGAGGGACUUGCAGUUCAACCCACAUCACAGCAUUCACUUUUGUGCUGUCUCUGAGAGUGGCAAUGUGCAGCUGUGGGACAUGCGUCGUCCAGACCGUGUGGAGAAACAGUUCACUGCUCAUGGUGGACCCAUUUUUGCCCUGGACUGGCAUCCAGAAGUCAAAACCUGGAUUGCUACAGCUGGACGGGACAAAACUAUUAAGGUAUGGGAUUUGAAUGAGAACCCAACAGUCUGCAACACCAUUCAGACCAUUGCUUCAGUAGGUCGUGUCAAGUGGAGGCCAAACUGCAGAUACCACAUUGCUAGCUCAGCCUUGUUGUGGGACUGCAGCAUCAAUGUAUGGGAUAUCCGUCGUCCUUACAUCCCACUGGCUGCUUUCAAUGAGCACAAAAACCUUACUACAGGCAUCUGCUGGCGUUCAGAGGCCAAUAGACUACUCUCUGUAGGCAAGGAUUGUACACUGAUUCAUCAUGCCUUCCAAGAUGCUUCUCGUCCCAUGGAGGAGGUCAACCCAAGUGCCCUUGACAUCAGUGUUUUUGGCAAUAUUUCAAAUGCUGCUCGCAACAAGGAUGAGUCAGAACCAGUAGGCAACCUGGCCAAGCUGAUGCCAGUAUUCAGGAGAACUGUUUCCCAUGCUGAGCACAGUGGACAGGUAUUGUCCUCACUGCAAAUGAUGAGUCCUGCUGAUGAUGGGCAAAUCUCUUCCCAUCACAUAGUCCAGUCUGCACAUCAGUACCUCCUGACUGGCCGCUCCCUUGCUGAAAUCUGUGAGCACAAUGCAGGUGUGGCCAAACAGCUCAGCAGGCACCAGGUGGCUCUGACUUGGCAAAUGAUGCAGAUGCUCUAUGUAGGUGUCAGCGGGGGAAGUGACCAUCCCACCACCACCAGGGAUGACCCCUCCCUGCCCCUAGACACCAAUCCUGAUGCUGAACCCAGAACUGCACGCCACUUUUCUGGUGGUGAUGGUGGUGGUGACACAUCAGGGGGUGGAGGCUUCAGUGCAGAAGAGGGUGACACAGAGACAGAUGACACAGAUAAUCAUGACAUGAAGCUGACCAACAUUGCCAGUGGUCUCACCAUCAACCAGGACUUCUUCUUUGGGGAUGGUGAAAUCAGCCAGAUCCCUUUUGAUUAUGAACAUCUUAACAACACUGACACCAGCCAAGACUGGACUCUGCCCAAUGAGGCCUUUGAGCCACGCCAUGACAUCCUUACUCGUUCAGCUAUGCCACCUCAGGAGUUCUCUUCCAAGUGUUUAUCUGGGGAGAUGCAGGACAGUGGUAGAGGAGAAAGUGGGAGAGGUGGUGGAGUGUCAGGGUAUGUGGUAGAAGCUCCAUCCCUGCUGAAUGUGAUGAGAGGAGUGAAGAUGCCAGCUUGGGACUGUGGCCAGUUGGUGGUGGAAAUGCUGUAUCAUUAUGCCAGUCAAGGAGAUGUGCAGAUGUCUGUCACCUGUAUCAUUGUUCUUGGAGACAGGCUCAAGCUGGGCUACCAUCAGUGCAACAACUCAACCAGCAAUCUACUGUAGUCACACUGCAGUGUGGCCGUUGCAAUUACAGUUUGGGCAAGAACAGCUUGUUGUGCCGUAAGUGUGGAUGUGUAUCAGCCCGCUGUGCCCUGUGCCAUGGUCUGGUGCGUGGACUGUUUGUGUGGUGUCAGGGCUGCUCUCAUGGUGGCCACCUCCAUCACAUUAAGGAUUGGAUGGCUAGUAACCGGGCAUGUCCAGCUGGCU